Dioscorea cayenensis subsp. rotundata (Guinea yam) is the source of this 824-nucleotide long non-coding RNA. RefSeq lists it as uncharacterized. The transcript is spliced from 3 exons. Lineage: Eukaryota; Viridiplantae; Streptophyta; Magnoliopsida; Dioscoreales; Dioscoreaceae. The record is from RefSeq and is a predicted model, not a curated record.
CUCGAAUUGUCUGCUGGCGAAGGAAGAGCAUCUGGAGACAAUCCUCUUUCAAGAAUUGCAAAUAAGUCCAGAUUUUGAUAAUAUGACGAGGCUUAAACAACUUCGGGUAUAUUGUGCAAUGAUCGUAUGUUACUUCUACAUAUUAUGUGUUGGCCUCACCACGUGUGCAAUGAAGCAAAAUAAUAAUAGACGAAGAAUGAUUGAACAUGAGAUUUCAUCAACAUCUACUAGACGACGCAAACAACAUGAGCAUAUUCACCGUUUAAUUUUUGAAAGUGAUAUUAAGUGCAUUGACAUGUUACGCAUGGAUCGACAUUGUUUCCAUAAUUUGUGUCAAUUGUUAACUACAACCGGUGGACUACGAGGUACAUUAAAUGUUGGUGUCCACGAGAUGAUCGCAAUAUUUUUGAACAUUUUAGCACAUCAUGUCAAGAAUAGAGUGAUUAAAUUUCAAUUCCUCCGAUCGGGCGAGACUGUAAGCCGGCAUUUCCAUGUUGUGUUAAAGUCGGUUAUUCUUUGUCACUUUGUUCUUUUGAAGAAACCAGAACCUGUAAUGGAAAACUCAAAUGACUUUAGGUGGAAGUGGUUUAAGAAUUGUCUUGGCGCAUUAGAUGGGACACAUAUACGUGUGAAUGAAAAUUUUCAUUAUUGUAGGUUUUGCCUAAAGAUGAUGACCAAAUGAAAAUUUUCUUCGGGUUACCAGACAAUAAAAAGCUUCGGUUUUGUCGUGUAUUGUCGUCGAGAAUGUCAUUUAGAGCACCAAAUAUGUAACCUCAUGAGUUUGUUUUAAUUUAAUUGGGUGAUGUUGUUUGUUUUAAAACUUA